RNAcentral lists this long non-coding RNA (5153 nucleotides) under Marmota monax (woodchuck). The record is from RNAcentral. Lineage: Eukaryota; Metazoa; Chordata; Mammalia; Rodentia; Sciuridae.
GGCAACUUUCUUGCUGCAUCCUUGCAGGGCUGAGGAUAGGAGGAGCCACAGAGAUCCAUAGCCAGAUCUGGUUUCUCUUCUUCUUAUUAUUAGAGCACUAAUUAUAUCAGAUUAGGGCUCAAGCCUUAGGACUGUGUUUAACUUAAUUAUCUCCCAAGGGUCCCAUUUACAAAUAUAGUUGCAUUUGGAGUUAGGGCUCCAACACACGAAUGUUGGCAGGACACAGUUCAGGUCCUAACACCCUCCGACAAGCAUCUUUCUCUUCAGCAUUUCCAACUAUAUAUUUUUAGGGGCAUAGAUGAAAGUGGUCAUUAGAACCCACCCUUCUGUACCCCGAGUCUCAUCCUAUUAAGAAAAAUGGUGGGCUUGAUGGAAUGUUAGUGUGCAGCAAUAAAAACAAAAUACUGAUUUAUACCCAACCCAGCUGAGUCUCAGAUGUACUAUACUUAGGGGAAGAAGUUGGAUUGGAAAGACUACAUGGCACAUGAUUCCACUUACAUGACAUUCUAAAAGAGGGUAAACCAUAGGGAUGGAAAACAGAUGAGUGUUGGUCGAUCUUUUCAGGGUGGAGUUUAGGGAUGAAGGAAGGAGAAGGAGAGGAUUUUGGUGGAUGAUGAACUAGUCCAUAUUUUGAGUGUUAUGAUGGUUACCCAAUUAUAUGCAUUUUUCAAAACUUACAGAAAUAUGCUAUAAAAAGUAUUUUCUUUUUUUUUUUUUUAACUGCAUGUUAGUUUCACCCAGGGCUUAUGGAGGAUCCCUGUUGUUCAUGUGAUAUCCUGUGAAUUCUGGGGUCUACCAUCCACCUCUUUGGCUUCACCUUAGAGAAAUUAUUUGUACAAUUUAUUUCUUCUAGUAGCCACUUGGUAAAUAUAAUUUUUGCUUUUAUCUUUAUCUGUGUCUUUGUUGAUUUCUGUAUCUAGCAAACAGGCUUGGAAGUGGCCAAUUUAAUUCAUGUUGCAUGGAUUUGUACAUACCACAUUGCCAUGAUAUAAGUGUGGUGAUCCCCACAUUCCUGAUGAAACUGUGUCCUGUGUUCUCUUCAAUGUCCUGCUGUGCUUGCAUCCUGAUGAGAUGGUGGAGCAGCAUCUCAGUACUAGAAUGUCUGAUACCGCAUGUGUUCAGUUGUGGCCUCCUGACUACAUAUUGUUUCAUUCCAAAUGUUGCCAGUUUUCCUUUAAGGACUUGGUGUCAAUUAGAAUUCAGAUGCUCCUCUAUUUGUGGUGUUAUAUCCAGAUAAAGCCAUCAUAAGUUUAAAAUACUGUAAGUCAAAAAUGCAUUUCCUACACCUACCGAACAUUGUUACUCAGCAACAUGGUACACUGAGCCUCCUAAAGAGCCCAUCUUCAGAGGAAUUUCAAGAUGGCGGAAUAGAGAAGGUCCCUUUCCUGGCUGCUCCAUGGUGUGAAACCAAGAAAGCAGAUAGGCAACUUCUCAGCAAGGUGAGUGAAAAAUAAAAGAUCCCACCUUCAAAUGCAUUCACACUAGAGGUUGGUUAUUUCCCCUUGUGAUCCUGUGGCUGACUGGGAACUAUGGUCACUGCCACCAUCCAGCACCAUGAGAAGGUACUAAACUGCACACUGGGAGAAGAUCAAAGUCUAGGAGAAGAUCAAAACUUGAAGUAUGGUUUCUGUGGAGUAUGUACUGCUUUUACACCAUCACAAAGAUUAAAAAAAAUUGUAAGUUGGACCAUCAUAAGCAGGGGACUAGAUAGAAAUCUCUACUCGGACUGAGUAUCCCUUGCAAACCCAGAGUAGAGUAAGGCUGACAUCAGCUGAAGUUUAUUUCUCUAGGACUCCCUCAGCUUCUCACUUCAUCCACUCACAUGCCCAGCUCUGAGAUAAUUAUUGGGGUCUGGGGUAGCACAUGCUCAUUACGCCAGUCCUGACCCGAACAGCAAGGCUGGGAGGUCCAAUUCUGUUCAGGAGGAGGAAAUGGUACGGGCCGCUGGGGAAGCUUUUAGCAAGUUUCUGCCGCGGUCUUCCAGCCCGACCCCAAAGUUAACCCACUGGCCCAAAGUGUGUUUCUUGUUAUCUGAGUGUAUUUUGUUAGCAUCUCUUAUGUGCAAAGGCUCAGAUGGGUCCGGAAGGUGUCUUUCCUUAGCGUCUGUGAUCAUUCUCUGGAGGAAUGCCCCCCUGGCUUGCUGGAGAGCCAUCCCCUGCUCAGCGACAGUGGAAGGGACAGGGCUAGAAGGUGGCUGUGGGGUGGGGUUGCACUAGGGUGUGUGAGCAGCUUCCUCCUUACCCAAAGCAGCAUUAGAAAUCACGAGAGCUUCUUUUGCUUGCUAAGUCCACAAGCAACCAAAAACCUGCCAUGGAUAUGAUUCUGGGGAGAGUGGAAAGAAGAGAAGUGUGGUCACUUUUGUACAAUAACUAGAACAAACAUUUAUUUAGUGUUUUUAUGCAACAUGUAUUUAUAGGAACAGAAUGUGGAGGCUGUCGGGUACUAAAUUGAAGAUGUAGUUUUCUCUGGUCACAGCAUUAUCCAAAGGCCGGCCUUUGGCGUCUGCCCCAGUCCUGUGUGCUUCUUGUUGCCAGGCUUGAAGUUUUUGGUCUUCUGCUCCAAAUAUGUGGCAGAGACAGCUAAGUAUCCCCCAAAUCUGUUCUUUUUUUAUACAAUAAUUAUAAUGGAAUAAAUUUCCCAGCCUCCUUUAACCCACUUCUUCCCAUUGUCCCCAAUGAAAAACACCUAUAAAGACCUUAGUAUACAAUAAAAAUAACUAUAUACUAUAUAUUUACUAUAUUUUUUUGUUGUCAUUAUAUAAUUAAUAUAAUACAUGUAUGCUCUAGACUAUAAUUUCCAGUCUCUUUUAAUGCACCUGUGUGAAUUUCAUUGAAAUAUUCACAGAACUGGAAACUUGGGAUUUAGUGGGUUAUGCAUGACUACAGGAGAAACUGUGUGUGCAACCUCUAGAACAUGCCCUUAGGUGCGUUCUCCUCUUUCUCCUCCUAUCACGUGGGGAUGUGGACAGGUUGGCUGCGGCUGGGGUCACUGUCAUGGAUCAGAAGGUGAGAACUAUAUGCUGAGGUUGAUAGAGAAAUAAGAUACAGAGUGUCUGGAUUCUUGACAAACGUGGGUCAUCGUACUAGCCCUGGGCUGCUUAUGUUUAUGUGAAAGGGAACUAAAUGAUCAUGCACAAGCCAUGCUGAUAUUAUUUUUCAGUCACUCGCAACCAAACUUAAUACAAUGACAGCUUUUGGUUAGAACAGUGCCUGGCAUAUAGCAGCUUCAUAGAGAAUUUGCAUUGACUCAGUUAAUCUGUUUAUUAGCUAAUUCCCUGGGUGAAUUAGUUUUUUAUCCCUGCGAUCAAAAUAUCUGACAAGAACAACUUAGAGGAGGAAAGGUUUACCUUGUGAUCAUGGUUUUGGAGGCUUCAGUCCAUGGUCAGCCAACCCCAUUUCUCUGAGCCUAAGUUGAGUCAGAACAUCAUGGCGGAAGGGGGUGCAGAGGAAAGCUCUCAGUUCCUGGCAGCCAGAAAGCAGAGAGGUGGGGGAAUCCUGGACAGCAUAUAGUCCUCAAGAACAUGCCCUUGUGAUCUACCUCCUCCAGCCACACAUACCCGCCUCCAGUUUUCACCCAGUAACCCAUUCAAAUUAUUAGUCCUUCCAAUGAAUUAAUCUACUGAAGAAGAUGCAGCUCUCAUAAUCCAAUUAUUUCACCUAAAACAUAGCCUAACACAUGAGCCUUUUGAGGGAUAUUCCUAGAACACCAUCACAACCACAAAGUUUACUAUUUUAUCCACUUUACAGACAAGGAAAGUAAGUCCCAAGUCACACACAUCCUAAGUGGUGAGUUACGGACUUGAACCUGGCCUGUCUGUCUUCAGUGACCCUGUACUUCAUCUCCACGAGGCCUUCAGUGAAUCAACACCACCCAGCAGAGGGAACUGGAGUUUAGCACAGUGCAUUGAAGAUGUGAUUAGGUUGUAGUUUCUUUUCAAUGAAUUGGAUGUGAACAAUCCAAAUAAUAUGGAUUAAAUUGCCAUUAAAAUGGCUGAGGUGUGUUAUCUCUCAUCAGGUGAAACUGAGGAUUUCUGUUCAUAUCCAAGGCCAUAGAAUUUACCCCGACUUGGGUUAUUUAUUCACUCUGCACUCACAAGCAAACAUUUACCACAUGCUGUUUACCAAAAACUUGGCUGUGGGCAGGUGACUUCAUGUACCUCAUCCCAAAUUUGGACAGAAAAUCUCAAAUAGGUUAAAAUUACUUUGUGCAUGGCAGACAUGCACAAAAUAUGGUGGUUGUUACUAUAAUUAUUUUCAAGGUCCUAUGCUAGGCAUGGAAAAGAUUAGCAUAGAGUUAGAAAAUACAGGAUGAAUGUGCUCUCCCCUCUAGACAGAUAGAUAGGGCUGAUGAUUCAUUGAUUUAAACAUCAAACAUUUAUUCAGAAGCUAUUAUUUUCCAGAUACUGAUACUUUGUUAGGUAAUACGCAUAAAAUAGUUACAUUGAUAUUUGGUGCCAGAUUCAGAGACGAUCUUCAUGGUCCAGAUCAGCAACAGUAUAAUAAAAAUGCAACUGGAGCCACAUCUAUAGCUGAUAUUUUCUAGGAGUAAUGCUAGAGAGUAAAAAGAAACAAUGAAACCAACCUCAACUUAAUAAACCUGUCAUUAACAUAUUUUGUUCUCAUUAUCUCUGUUGUCUUUUUGCAUAUAUUCAAUAUAAUAUGUCAAUAUUAAGAUACUAAUAUAAAUGUUAUAAAUUACUAAUGAGAUCUCUUACUUGAUUUUUCAUACCAUUUUCCUAAUCUAUUGUUGAGAGCCACAGCCGAAGGGGCCCCAGCAAACUUCCAGCUGCCAGCAAACUUCCAGCAACAUCUAGCUGAUUGGCUCCUCGGCCCCAGCAACAUCUAGCUGAUUGGCUCCUCUGCGGUGAUGCUCAUUGGGCUGUUUCCCUGCCCUUUCAGACCACGGAGCUGCUCAUUGGGGGACUUUUUUGGCUCCGCCCACGUGACCCAGCCAAUCGGCCUCAAGAGCAGGAGGAUUGUGGGAGGGGGAGAGAAGCUGGUGUGGGAGAGAGAGGCUUGUGGAAAGCCGGUGGUGGCAGUUGAGGCUCUGAGGGUUUUUCCUGAGAGGCUGUUUUGUUUGGCGUGUGUGGUUCUAAAAAUAAAGUUAGUUUCUUUUGACAAGUGGCUCCUGAUUGUGCCCAGCCAGACUGCGGC